UCGAACGAUUAAAGCUCUCUUCGGAGAGUGCAUAGAGUGGCGCACGGGUGAGUAACACGUAAGUAAUCUACCUUCGAGUGGGGAAUAACGUCCGGAAACGGGCGCUAAUACCGCAUAAUGCAGCGGCAUUGCAAGAUGACAGUUGUUAAAGGAGCAAUCCGCUUGAAGAGGAGCUUGCGGCAGAUUAGCUAGUUGGCAGGGUAAUGGCCUACCAAGGCUACGAUCUGUAACCGGUCUUAGAGGACGGUCGGUCACACUGACACUGAAUAACGGGUCAGACUCCUACGGGAGGCAGCAGUCGGGAAUUUUGGGCAAUGGGGGAAACCCUGACCCAGCAACGCCGCGUGAAGGAUGAAGUAUUUCGGUAUGUAAACUUCGAAAGAAUAGGAAGAAUUAAUGACGGUACUAUUUAUAAGGUCCGGCUAACUACGUGCCAGCAGCCGCGGAAAUACGUAGGGACCAAGCGUUGUUCGGAUUUACUGGGCGUAAAGGGCGCGUAGGCGGCAUGGCAAGUCACUUGUGAAAUCUCCGGGCUUAACUCGGAACGGCCAAGUGAUACUGCUGAGCUAGAGUGCAGAAGGGGCAAUCGGAAUUCUUGGUGUAGCGGUGAAAUGCGUAGAUAUCAAGAGGAACACCUGAGGUGAAGACGGGUUGCUGGGCUGACACUGACGCUGAGGCGCGAAAGCUAGGGGAGCAAACGGGAUUAGAUACCCCGGUAGUCCUAGCCCUAAACGAUGAAUACUUGGUGUCUGGAGGUUUAAUACUCCGGGUGCCGUCGCUAACGUUUUUAGUAUUCCGCCUGGGGGAGUACGUACGCAAGUAUGAAACUCA
RNAcentral lists this ribosomal RNA (831 nucleotides) under uncultured bacterium. RNAcentral's name for it is "bacterial SSU rRNA". It matches the Rfam family "Bacterial small subunit ribosomal RNA", at positions 62 to 903 of the family's 1533-position model. The record is from RNAcentral.